This 253-nucleotide ribosomal RNA is filed under the name uncultured bacterium. RNAcentral describes it as "partial 16S ribosomal RNA". It matches the Rfam family "Bacterial small subunit ribosomal RNA", at positions 524 to 776 of the family's 1533-position model. The record is from RNAcentral.
UACGUAGGGGGCAAGCGUUGUCCGGAAUCAUUGGGCGUAAAGCGCGUGUAGGCGGCUAGGUAAGUCUGCUCUGAAAGCCCGGGGCUCAACCCCGGGAGGCGGGUGGAUACUGUCUAGCUCGAGUCCGGAAGAGGAGUGUGGAAUUCCUGGUGUAGCGGUGAAAUGCGCAGAUAUCAGGAAGAACACCCGUGGCGAAGGCGGCUCUCUGGGACGGUACUGACGCUGAGACGCGAAAGCGUGGGGAGCGAACAGG